Apodemus sylvaticus (European woodmouse) is the source of this 776-nucleotide non-coding RNA. The record is from the annotation of a RefSeq genome assembly. Lineage: Eukaryota; Metazoa; Chordata; Mammalia; Rodentia; Muridae.
GGGGUAUGGUUUUUGUGUUGGGUUCUGGGGCUGUGAACCAAGAGACCCAGUACUUCGGGCCAGGCACUCGGCUCCUCGUGUUAGAGGAUCUGAGAAAGGUGACUCCACCCAAAGUCUCCUUGUUUGAGCCAUCAGAAGCAGAGAUUGCAGACAAGCAAAAGGCUACCCUCGUGUGCUUGGCCAGGGGCUUCUUCCCUGACCAUGUGGAGCUGAGCUGGUGGGUGAAUGGGAAGGAGAUCCACAGUGGGGUCAGCACGGACCCUCAGGCCUACAAGGAGAGCAAUAACUUCACCUACUGCCUGAGCAGCCGCCUGAGGGUUUCUGCUACCUUCUGGCACAAUCCUCGCAACCACUUCCGUUGUCAAGUGCAGUUCUAUGGGCUUACAGAGCAAGAUGAGUGGAAUCAGACCUCACCCAAACCUGUCACACAGAACAUUAGUGCAGAGGCCUGGGGCAGAGCAGACUGUGGAAUCACCUCAGCAUCCUAUCAUCAGGGGGUUCUGUCUGCUACCAUCCUCUAUGAGAUCCUACUGGGGAAGGCCACCCUCUAUGCUGUGCUGGUCAGCGCCCUGGUGCUGAUGGCUAUGGUCAAGAAAAAAAAUUCCUGAGACAAACUCUUAUGUAUCCUGAGCUUCUUCACCCUGGCCAUCGAUUUUCCUGCACCUUCUCCAUUCCUAUUCCUAAGGACUUGUCUCUUCUUCCUCCAUGGAUAUCCAUCCUUCCUCAUUGACACCUUGACCCUGAAACAGACUAAAUCAAUAAAAAUAGUAAGCUUA